Molecule: ribosomal RNA, 496 nt
Filed under: uncultured bacterium
Lineage: Bacteria
Description: partial 16S ribosomal RNA
Rfam family: Bacterial small subunit ribosomal RNA
Source: RNAcentral
GAUGAACGCUAGCGGCAGGCUUAACACAUGCAAGUCGAGGGGUAGAGUUAGCUUGCUAACUUGAGACCGGCGCACGGGUGCGUAACGCGUAUGCAACCUACCUUGUACAGAGGGAUAGCCCAGAGAAAUUUGGAUUAAUACCUCAUAGUAUUAUUGAAUGGCAUCAUUUGAUUAUUAAAGUUCCAACGGUACAAGAUGAGCAUGCGUCCCAUUAGCUAGAUGGUAAGGUAACGGCUUACCAUGGCAACGAUGGGUAGGGGUCCUGAGAGGGCGAUCCCCCACACUGGUACUGAGACACGGACCAGACUCCUACGGGAGGCAGCAGUGAGGAAUAUUGGUAAAUGGGCGCAAGCCUGAACCAGCCAUGCCGCGUGCAGGAAGACGGUCCUAUGGAUUGUAAACUGCUUUUAUACGGGAAGAAACCCUGCUACGUGUAGCAGCUUGACGGUACCGUAAGAAUAAGCAUCGGCUAACUCCGUGCCAGCCGCCGCCGUAA